Long non-coding RNA from Passer domesticus (house sparrow), 2737 nucleotides. RefSeq lists it as uncharacterized. NCBI's taxonomy places the organism in Eukaryota, Metazoa, Chordata, Aves, Passeriformes, Passeridae. The record is from RefSeq and is a predicted model, not a curated record. The transcript has 4 exons.
AUUGACAAGGAUAAGAAGAUCCUGGGCCCAGAGCCCUCAGGAAGAGGGGAAUAUCUCUGGCACCACAGGGGAUGGAUCAGUUUUACUGUUUUUCUCAUGCCAGGAAUGGUUGUCAGAAGUGAAAGACCAUUUUUUGCUGAUGCCUGACCUUUUCUUCUGCUUGCUUUUCUCUCUGGACCUGCAUCACCUGGAGCUGGAAGAUUUCUAGAGUUCAGUUCUUUGGCAGAAAACCAAAUGAGGUGGGCCUGGGAUGGUUGUGUAGGUCCUGUGGGCUGAAAAACUUCCAGGCAGCCCUAAAACAAAUCCUGCUGGGCCUCCUGAAGAUGAAGGUGAAGAGUUUGCAUCCUUGAGUCUGGAAUUCUGGUCCUCCAGCUCAGUGGGCAGAGUGGUUCUUCUACACCAUAGAAAAGCCUGGUACAGCUGCUCCUGCUCAAGAUCUUGGGAAUGGGAAUCUGCAAAUGCUGCUGUGUCCAGGGGAUCUCUGCUCUGUUCCUUCCUUCUAAAGUAGCCACAUGCAGGAGAUAGAGCCCUGGAAGGCUGCUCAAAAAAUGGAGUGGCUCCUUCAGUGGAGGUGCCUGGGACACUUUUUCAUGGAAGACUUCAAGAAAACCAGGAUUUUCUCUUCUGCAAAUGAACCCAGCCAGAGCAGCAGUAAGAGAAUCCAACCCCAGAGUGGAAAAGUUGCUCUUUUCCCCUCAGACUUUGACAGAUGGUGCAGAUUAGUCUUUUUAUUACAGAGUUAUUACAAGGCCUGUCAGCUGCCCUGGGGUCUCAACAUCUGGGUGUGAAUAUCAGGCACAUCUACUGAGUAAGUCUGGACAUCCCCUGAACUGGUUUCUUCUGAGCUAAACCCACAAAUUUCAGAAGUCCCUCUCCAGAUAUUCCACCUCAGAUUGCACUUCUCAGCAGUGGGAAAAAGUCAGUGUCUGCAAUUUCUGCUUUUAUGGCCUUGUGUCCAUCAGAAGUCUGCAGUCACCAUCCUGCUGCAUUGCAGAUUCCUUGGAGAUAUCCCUGAUGCUUUUCCAGCCUUGCUGCCUCUGGAGAAGACCCAACUGGUCCUACACAAUCCAUGCUGUAUCUUUUAAAUCUGUUUUUUUUCUUUUUUUCCAGCUGGUGCUCUGGCAGUCAGAGCCUUCCUGGCACAGGGAUUUGGGGACAUAAAUUCCAGAUGAGCACCUUUGAUUCCCUCAGACCAUGAUAAUGGAGAGAUGAUUGACACCUACAGCUUUGGGAAGAGACAUGCUCAGCAGAGAUCCCAGGGGAUGUGCCUUUCACCAGGAAGCAGGAGAAGCAGAGCAGAUCCAUGUGGAGCCCCAGGUCUGCUCCCACAGGAGGUGAGGACACGGAGCAGUGAAACUGGAUGUUGUGUUCUCACCAUGAAGGAGAGGCUAAAAAUAGCUUUGUGGGAAAUCCUGUGCUGCUGAAGCAUCUUUUGAUGUCUCUUUAUCUCAGAAUUCUUUCUGCUGAGAUCUCUGGAGAUGUUGGAGCAGUGACCUCAGGGGCAGGAACUCAAGCAGCCCACUGGAGAAGCAUUUCCAGAGCUUCAGUGAAUGCAGGAAUGUCCAUCCCUGUUCAUUGUGGAGGCACAGGAGGUGGGAUAUCCCAACAUCCUGGGCUCCAGCUCUGCAUGGUUACCACACCUCACCCUUGGAUCUGAGCCCUCCAGCUUUUUUCCCAAGUGACAGGGAUCUAGUGCAGUGUUUUGACAGCUGAAACAGCCUGGAAAUAACGAGCUGGAAGCAAUGUUUUCUCUCCUGCCCCCUUCCCAUUUGGAGAAGAAGAUGUAUCAUGGAGCAGGGUUUUCUGCUCUGCAGCUGUAAUUCUGCUGUCUUUAUUUCUGUUCUACAAGGCCUGCAGCAGGAUUUUCCAUUUGAAUGGCUGCAGUUUUAAACUCAUUUAUCAUUUUUAUGGGAGUUCAGAGAUAUCUCGUGGAAAUCAUUGCCAGGGAGAGCAGGAAAUUUCAGUUUACAUCCAUUCACACGUGGGUUUGCCUCGAGUCAACACCAAGAGUUGACAAGAACUGGAAUGUAAAACUGUGUUGGCCAUGGAUAGCAUAGUAAAUGACUGGAGAAUUAGAAUAAUAGUAGGAAAAAAAUACAGAAUCUGGGACUUGUUGUGGUUCUUCCUCAUGAUAGCACAUUUGUCUGUCUUUUCAACAUGUAGAAUAUUUUGGGUUAGGAGGGACCUAAAAGCUCAUCAGUGGACAGCAAGUGAUGCUUGGCUUGUUCCAAAAUAAUCCCCAUGGAGGGAAUCCUGCUGAGUUUCUCUUCUCCUCUUCCAACAAAAAGGAAGAGGCUGGAUGUGGGAAAUGGCCACCACAAAGGUCAGCCAUCAACCUGUCCCAUCCAAAAAGUCACUGAAAACCCCAGCCCAGUGCAAGCUGCAGUCCUGGAAUAUCCUAAAGUGGAGUUCUGAAUUAUCUCUGUGGGAUCACAGUUAAAAUAUUCAGGAUAACCAAGAAAAAGCGGCAUGCCUGCCCUUUUUCCUCCUCUUCCUUUCAGUGUGACAUUUCAAAGGUGUUUUGUUCCUGAAACACCUGUUCCCAAAGGGAAUAUGUGUGUGUUUUGGUGUUCUCCCAGGCUGUUUUGGUUAAUUGCAGAGAUUGACUAGCCCAGGAUUUCUGUCUGGUUCAGAAAUCCUGGGCUAGUGAUUAGCCCGUGUGUAAUGGUGCAGAAUGUUCUUUACCUACGCUGUGCACUUCUGAGUGUCACUCUCAAAGAAAAUACAAAUAUACUUC